Molecule: long non-coding RNA, 1031 nt
Filed under: Sorghum bicolor (sorghum)
Lineage: Eukaryota; Viridiplantae; Streptophyta; Magnoliopsida; Poales; Poaceae
Description: long non-coding RNA (SBIC_LNC008511)
Source: RNAcentral
AGGUCUCUUUUUUGUGGUAUUUUUGGAUCCUUACCAAGGCAUUGAUGGUAUAUGCCUUCUCUCAAGAUAUGUAGUAUUUGUGGUAUGAGGCAUAGUGACAUUGCCUUUUCUCUCACCCUACUCUAAUAAGGCUUUAAUAUCUGGAGUUCAUAGGUGGGAGAUAAAGUAUACAUACUUACAAGACAUUUAUUGCAUAGUCAAACCAUGGAUCCAAAGAAACAAAUCAAUAAGCUAAAUCAAGAUGUGCAUGUGUGGCGAAUGAAUGGUGUAUGGUGAUAAUGGUGAUAACAAUGGUGGAAACAAUGGUGGUGGAAGUCUAAUUCUACUUUACUCUUUUGAGGGGAUACAUACCUUCCUUGCUUUUGAAACUUUAUGAGGAGAAUGAGAUGCUCUUCUUUUUCUUGUCUCUCAGGUGGGCAUCUUGCAACCCUAAUUCUACUGUCGGACACUUGUCCAUUUUUACCUCUCGUCUCACUUUUUUUUUCCUUCUUUCGAGGUUCCGAGCACUUGCUCCUUUUUAUUUCCUCGUAUCUCUUUUUUUUUCAGAGCACUCAUCUCAUGAGAUAAUAUAGCAAGUGGUAGUAACAAGAUAACUUGAGCAUUUAUUUUACAAAGGGAAAAAUAGAAAUAUUUUUUUUUUGGUUAUUCUCUCCCGGAUUAGGAGUAGAAUAUUUUUGGGUGAUUCUGGAGAUGGAAAUGGAUGGAUAUAUGUGAAUGGUACUUCCGGAGUAGAAGUAGCAUAUAUGAGUGAACGUGCAAGUGAAUCUUGAUUUAACCACAUGACAAGCUCCUAAGGGUCUACACAGCUUGACCACACUCAAUGCUCAUAAGCAGUAAAUAAUAAAUGUGUGGUUCAAAGUCUAGCAAGCAUGCAUAUAUGGCUGUGGUAGGAAUUUAAGCUCUCAUCAUACAGGAACUCAUCAUGCAACAUUUUAAAGAUUUUCAAAGAUAAAAUUCUCCAGAAUUCUAGCAUCUCUAGGAACAGAUAAACAGUAGCUCAACCUUCCCAUAUCAUAUCCGUUAACAACUUA